AGAGCAGCCGACCCCGCAUCGGCAAAGGCAUCGUAAAGCCAUACAAGUACGUCCGCAUCCCAUCAAGAUGAAGUUGUGCGUGGUUGUCUUCGUUCUUGCCACUCUACUAUCGGUUGCCUUCUCCGAAUGCCCGGGAGAGCUGAAAUUCCUUGCGAUUAUGGGAUGUGCGCUCGAAGCGGAGGAAGAUCCUAAGCUCCAAGCCGCCUUCAGGGACAAGGAUUUAUCAAACCCUGCUUUCGUUAAGGCAACAUGCUGGUAUGCACAUGAUCUCGAUAUAUACAUAC
This is a long non-coding RNA of Ornithodoros turicata, 284 nucleotides long. RefSeq lists it as uncharacterized. Lineage: Eukaryota; Metazoa; Arthropoda; Arachnida; Ixodida; Argasidae. The record is from RefSeq and is a predicted model, not a curated record. The transcript has 3 exons.